RNAcentral lists this ribosomal RNA (700 nucleotides) under uncultured bacterium. Its description in RNAcentral is "bacterial SSU rRNA". It matches the Rfam family "Bacterial small subunit ribosomal RNA", at positions 45 to 739 of the family's 1533-position model. The record is from RNAcentral.
UGCUUUACACAUGCAAGUCGAACGGCAGCGGGGGCUUCGGCCUGCCGGCGAGUGGCGAACGGGUGAGUAAUGCAUCGGAACGUGCCCAUGUCGUGGGGGAUAACGUAUCGAAAGGUACGCUAAUACCGCAUACGUCCUGAGGGAGAAAGCGGGGGACCGUAAGGCCUCGCGCGAUUGGAGCGGCCGAUGUCGGAUUAGCUAGUUGGUGAGGUAAAGGCUCACCAAGGCGACGAUCCGUAGCGGGUCUGAGAGGAUGAUCCGCCACACUGGGACUGAGACACGGCCCAGACUCCUACGGGAGGCAGCAGUGGGGAAUUUUGGACAAUGGGCGCAAGCCUGAUCCAGCCAUGCCGCGUGAGUGAAGAAGGCCUUCGGGUUGUAAAGCUCUUUCGGCCGGGAAGAAAUCGUGUUCUCUAACAUAGGACAUGGAUGACGGUACCGGACUAAGAAGCACCGGCUAACUACGUGCCAGCAGCCGCGGUAAUACGUAGGGUGCGAGCGUUAAUCGGAAUUACUGGGCGUAAAGCGUGCGCAGGCGGUUUUGUAAGACAGAUGUGAAAUCCCCGGGCUUAACCUGGGAACUGCGUUUGUGACUGCAAGGCUGGAGUACGGCAGAGGGGGGUGGAAUUCCACGUGUAGCAGUGAAAUGCGUAGAGAUGUGGAGGAACACCGAUGGCGAAGGCAGCCCCCUGGGCCUGUA